This 182-nucleotide unclassified non-coding RNA is filed under the name uncultured Basidiomycota. RNAcentral describes it as "sequence contains ITS2". The record is from RNAcentral. Lineage: Eukaryota; Fungi; Basidiomycota.
AUUUCUCAACUCCGCCUCCUUUGCGGGAGAGCGGGGCUUGGAGUUGGAGGUUUGCGGGCGCAAGUCCGCUCCUCUCAAAUGCAUUAGUGAAGCCCAGGCGGCCUCGGCGUGAUAAUUGUCUACGUCCAAGGUUGUCUAUUGCGGUUUUCGCUUCUAACCGUCCCUCGGGACAAUUCAUCGAA